GACGAACGCUGGCGGCGCGCCUAACACAUGCAAGUCGAACGGAGUCACGAGGAGCUUGCCUUUCUUGACUUAGUGGCGAACGGGUGAGUAACGCGUGAGUAACCUGCCCUGGAGUGGGGGACAACAGUUGGAAACGACUGCUAAUACCGCAUAAGCCCACGGAUCUGCAUGGAUCUGCGGGAAAAGGAUUUAUUCGCUCUAGGAUGGACUCGCGUCCAAUUAGCUAGUUGGUGAGGUAACGGCCCACCAAGGCGACGAUUGGUAGCCGGACUGAGAGGUUGAACGGCCACAUUGGGACUGAGACACGGCCCAGACUCCUACGGGAGGCAGCAGUGGGGGAUAUUGCACAAUGGGGGAAACCCUGAUGCAGCGACGCCGCGUGGAGGAAGAAGGUUUUCGGAUUGUAAACUCCUGUCGUUAGGGACGAUAAUGACGGUACCUAACAAGAAAGCACCAGCUAACUACGUG
This 468-nucleotide ribosomal RNA is filed under the name uncultured bacterium. RNAcentral's name for it is "partial 16S ribosomal RNA". It matches the Rfam family "Bacterial small subunit ribosomal RNA", at positions 28 to 507 of the family's 1533-position model. The record is from RNAcentral.